AUGUGGAUGAAUCUGAUAAAAAAAUUCAGAAGAGAUGAAUUUGGGCGCAUGUGGCCAGCAGCAAGAUCCUACACCACACAGACACAUUCCUAUCACCUUGGUAAGAUAUUGGCAUCAUGUAGUGAUAAUGAAUUUGCUUCAUGGUUGAACACCCACCAUUAUCUGUUGUGGUAUAGAUCAGGUUUUAAUACUGCCAUAAAAUGUGAUCAUAUCAAUAACAACUUGGCAAAAAGUUUUAACAACAAAGUGAAGGAUUUGAAAGACUUGCCUGUGGAUGACAUGGUGGACCAAAUAAGGAUCAUGAUCAUGCGUUUGCGGGAGUUGAGAGGAAAAAUUGCUAAUAUUUUGGAAGGGGACAAGCUUCCAGCAGUGGUACAACAGGUGGUCAACAGGAGUAGAAAUCUCUCACAUCUAUCUAUUGAGAAAUCUUCCUUGUGGGGUGCUGAAGUUAGAGAUACAAAGAGUGGCAAGAGGCAUGUGGUAAAUACUGAGUUGCAUGAGUGCACUUUCCAAGAGUGGCAACACACUGGAAAACCAUGUGAGCAUUUCAUACUUUUUUGGCAUCUAAACCCAGGUUAA
RNAcentral lists this ribosomal RNA (579 nucleotides) under Triticum aestivum (bread wheat). RNAcentral describes it as "partial small subunit ribosomal RNA". The record is from RNAcentral. Lineage: Eukaryota; Viridiplantae; Streptophyta; Magnoliopsida; Poales; Poaceae.